GAUGUGUGAGCAAACAGGAGGACAAUUCAUUUUCAAGAUGAGAGGAAUUAUACUACUCUUGCUGUUUGGAACUGUUGUGGUAGCGAAACCAAAACCAGCUACAGUUGACAUAUCGUGUAAGUUUUCAAGCUGUGGAAUAUUUCAAAUCAAAAUUUGUAAAGAAAACAAAUGAUAAAAAAGGAGUUAUAUUCUUGAUGGAUAAUAUCCAUGGCUUUAACACAACAACCAACUCAUCAACGGUAACACUGCCAAGCAAAGAACUGGACCAUGCAGAGUGGAAUGGUGUAGUGCGGCCAAUUGAAAAUUCUUUUGGGUUUGCACCAAAACCUGCUGACAAAGAGGACACACAGGGGAAUACAGAAGAGUGAAAAUGACACAGCAGAGGGUUCAACUCAACAGAUCCAAACACAUAUGAAGUCCUAACUGAGUACAGCCAUCAGAAUGAGGAACCAGCAGGGGAUUUCUUCAUCCUGUUAUGCUUCUUCUCCUCAAUAAACAUUUCAUUUGAAAC
This is a long non-coding RNA of Amphiprion ocellaris (clown anemonefish), 511 nucleotides long. Lineage: Eukaryota; Metazoa; Chordata; Actinopteri; Pomacentridae. The record is from Ensembl.